AAGGACUACUGCAGAGAGAUACCUAGCAGCCAAGCAUCAUGAUCAUUCAAACUACGAGCCUGCUGCAACAAGGACGCCAAACUAAUUGAGGAAUGAAACAAGAUUGGUUCGCCACAAAAACAACUGUGUCAGCCCAGCAAGGCUCAAUGUCGUGCUUAUCCAACAUCUGAGAUCUGUUGUGAGAUAAGAAUAUGCUACUCAUCACAAUUGAUAAGUGACUGGUUGCAGUAGUCUUCAUACCAAUGCAACAUAUAACAGCUAGCGUAGCCAUGCCAGAAACGGGAAGUCUGCGUUGCUUUAUCAGAAUAACUACGACUCCACGACAGCUCUACACUGUGAGGUUGGGCGAGCAUUUGUCCUGCAUUGUGAGGCUGGGUGAGCAUUUGUCCUGCACUGUGAGGCGAGGUGAGCAUUUGUCCUGCACUGUGAGGCGAGAGCUGGGAAGUUCACUUUGAAGUUCAGGACCGGGUAGCACGUACGACCGUUCUUCACUACUGGGUGGAGUCAAGAAUGGAGAC
This is a long non-coding RNA of Priapulus caudatus, 518 nucleotides long. RefSeq lists it as uncharacterized. NCBI's taxonomy places the organism in Eukaryota, Metazoa, Priapulida, Priapulimorpha, Priapulimorphida, Priapulidae. The record is from RefSeq and is a predicted model, not a curated record. The transcript has 5 exons.